UACGUAGGUGACAAGCGUUGUCCGGAUUUACUGGGCGUAAAGAGCGCGCAGGCGGUCGAUCAAGUCGAGUGUGAAAGCCCCCGGCUCAACUGGGGAGGGUCAUUCGAUACUGAUCGACUCGAAGGCAGGAGAGGGUAGUGGAAUUCCCGGUGUAGUGGUGAAAUGCGUAGAUAUCGGGAGGAACACCAGUGGCGAAGGCGACUACCUGGCCUGUUCUUGACGCUGAGGCGCGAAAGCUAGGGGAACAAACGGG
Molecule: ribosomal RNA, 253 nt
Filed under: uncultured bacterium
Lineage: Bacteria
Description: partial 16S ribosomal RNA
Rfam family: Bacterial small subunit ribosomal RNA
Source: RNAcentral